Molecule: microRNA precursor, 94 nt
Filed under: Myotis lucifugus (little brown bat)
Lineage: Eukaryota; Metazoa; Chordata; Mammalia; Chiroptera; Vespertilionidae
Description: miRNA (ENSMLUG00000024449.1)
Source: RNAcentral
AUGUGUGUGUGUGUGUGUGUGUGUGUGUGUGUGUUGGUGUGGGGAGAGAGACACAGACACACACACACACACACACACACACACACACGCAGAU